GACGGCGGAUCUGCCGCGAGAGGGAGGCUAGAGGGCCGCCGCUUCCCCUCCCCCUCACAUCCGGCGCGCCGCCCCAUCUCCCCAUCCCUACCAGCCGGCGGCUUCCCCCGCCACCGGCGCCGCUUCCCUUCCCAUCUCCCUCCUUUCUCGCCGGCUCGGCGCGGCAACGGCGGGGUUCGGCGGAGACGGCGCCGUCCCAACGGCGGCGACGACGGCGUCCGCGGCGGCCGCGCUCCCUCUCCCCCUCUCCUUCCCGUCUCGUCGGCUUGGCGCAGCGACGGCGGGGUGCGGCGGAGACGGCGGCGACGGCCGUCCCUCCCCCUCUCUCUCUCUCCCCGUCGGCCUCGACGGCGACGGCGCCCUCCCAACGGCUGCGAUGGCGUCGGCUUCAUCCGCGUGCGGAUCCGGCAGCGGCGGCUCCCUCCGGCGGCGGUGGUGGCGUCGGCGGCCGCCCUUUUUUUUUUUUUUGGCAAUUUUUUCCAUGGCUAUUGCUAACCGAAUAGGAUUGUGCAUGGACAAAAGAUGGACGAAAAUUAGAUGUUACAACCGCAAAAAUACGAAUAUUUAUAUUAGUUAUAUAGAUUAUAGAUUUUUAGUUUUAGAAACUUGGGCUCGGCCUGCUUUGGAAAUUAAGAAGUCCAACCACGAUCCGAACCACCAAAUUUUUUUAAGGAAAACAUGCAAUUUAACUCCCAGUUGAUCUUUUGUUUAUAAUAAUAUCUCAAAUAGAUGUGCACGCCUGAAGUUUCUCUAUGAAGAACAGAAGAUAAUUCAUGCAAAUAUUUUAUCAAUGCACUAAUAAUGCUAGUCAGAUUUCUAUAUAUCUGUAUAAUAGCUAGCAUCAUCGUUUUCACCUUUUCCUAAUUGUAGCUUAUGCGUAGUGAAUUUCCAAUACAUGAAUCUACAAUCUGCAUAGCAAUAUUUACGUAUUCACAGUCGUUAAAUUUUCGUUAAAUUCCAAUUUUCGUUAAAUUCCGAUUAAGCGUAUGUAUACCAAUUAAUCAUUUGGUGGUACCCUCUCCGUCGAACAUGUGCAUUCGUCUCUUCACAAUACUAGCUUAAUUUGUAUCCCUCUACCCUAUGUCGACCCACAAAGUAUUAAAACCAAUGAGAAAUGACUCCGCUGAGAGUAUUGACGCCAGUGCCAUCGUCGUCCGGCGAAGUCCAGCGAGAGGGGAUUCGAUUGGAUCGGAAGCAAUUUAGCAAAGCGGCGGCGGCGGCGGCAAUUUUUACUUUUGUUUUUCGUUUCGAGGAAGGAACCAGGAAAAACUUGGGUUCGGCCUGCUAGUCCAACCACGAUCUGAACCAACAAAAUAGGGAAAAAUUCUAAUUUGACUCCCUUAAAUAGGUCGGUAGAACGUAGAGGUCGAGAUGGGGGACAAGGCUUCAGAUUUUGACAUUACCAAAACUUAAUAGGUUAACAAAACAAAUAUUAUAUUGCUAUUCAAACCUUAACAAAAUUUGGUACUUUCAGAAACUUCCUCUUAUACAAACCCUACCGAAUUUUAAUAAGGUUACAAACUAAACGCAUCCAACACUACCAAAAUUUGGUAACACCAAAAUGUGCCAACUUUUGGCGGUGCCAAAUUUUGGCAAGGUUGAUAUUUUGACACCAAACCAAACAAGCUUCAAUUAGAUGCUAUAGAUGAAAUGGAUCAUUGGGAUCCGGUUUGACGUCGAAAACGAGGCGGCGCUCGGCUCCAGGCGAUGCCAAACAGAGCAAAGUGGCGUGGGCGCAGAGCUCGGCGUGGUUCGGGCCGCAUGAUAGCCAGCGGAGAACUUGGCGGAUCUUGAAGGGUGGCAGAACGACGCCCAAGGAUCGUGUUCCGCCGGGUCUUGACAGCAAGAUUGGCUUUGGAUUGCUGGCGGAGUGUAUGCACGUUAGGUGCUUGAUCGACGCUCCGCCAUGGCUCCAGGAAGGAGGGAGCGAAGCAAGGCAUCAAGGUGUGGUUGUGGAGGUGGGUAGUGGCAUGAAACGGCGGCGGCGGCGUGCCGUGGUUGGCGCCCGGCUGGUAAAGGUUGGAUCGAAGUUGGGCUAUGGUGAGAGGUUAUGGAUUUGGGCCGUGCAUUCAGGCUCACUGGCCGGGGCAGACAUUGUGUCGAACACCUUGUGGGUAUGAACAGUGUAGUUUUCGCAUUUUCCAGAAAAUUUUCAGAUAAUUGAUUAGAUAGAAUGGAAGGGUUUUUUUAGAACUCAUGAAUGGCAGGGUUUACUGCCCAAGACAAUGUCUCUUGGUUGUUGUCAAUCGGUACACCACAGAGCACAGAGAAAUCUGAUGACAAAAGGACGACACCCCAUAUAAUGCUGUUUGGAAUAUAUUUACUGAGCAGCAGAUAACUUCAAACUGAUCAAAGGAGACACUCGUAUAUGCUGAUGGGGAUAAGAUGUACGGAAAGACGAUAUAUAUCCAGCACACAUAAUUCAACCAACCAAACAGAAGAUCAAAAAAGAGAAGAUUUGGGAAAUACCAUUGCAAAGAUACGUGAGUUGUAAAAUAUCAUCGUACGUGAGAAUGACAUAUGGGGCCUGUACCCACAUUUCAGUGACACAUGAUGUAUUUUCUAACUCUGUGAUUUUUGUGAUGGUACUAGGCAAAUUAGCCCAUCAAAAAAUUAGCUAAAGUGUGGCACAAAAGUAUGUCAAAUGAUAACAAUGUUAGUAUAGCAUCCAAAUUUUUGAAGGCAAACACACGGUUCAGAACUUCAAACGAGCGAGAAAAAGGGGGGACAAUUUCUCACAACAAGUGAACUUCGAAAACGAUCAAAAUUCCAUGCACUAAAGGAUAGUAAAUGAUGAGAAAUUUAACGAUAUGCCACUCAAUAGAAGUGGCUUUAACAAAAUGCCAUCCUCUAGAAUGACCUUAUAAAAAUACCACUCAAUAGAUGUGGCUCUUUAACAUAAUGUCACUUUAGGCUGUUUGGAAGCUUUUAAUCAGAAAUGAUGUGUGAAAUGACAAAAUUACCCCUAGUUCCUUUCUCACAUGUCCAGAGUAGAGGAGGGGCCGAUGUCUGUGGGGACUCCUUCCCCGGUGGCAACAAUGGUUUGCGUGGGCGGCAACGCUGUAGUGGGGGCGACCACGACGCCCUCUCCACAAGCGCCAAGGCCACCUCCGACCACCUCGCUGCAUCUGGUUGCGGCGACGUCCAUGGCCACUCCCUCUUCUUCUUCGCUCCACCCUCGCUUCUACCUCUCCGCCAUCGACGAGGACCGUCCCUGGUACCAGGCCGACAACGAUGCGGCGGGGCUCGAGGAGCUCCUCACCGCAUGCCCCUCCUCGCUAACGGGCCCACGCUGUGGUACCAGCUCGACGACGACGUGGCAGGGCUCAGGGAGCUCCUCGCCGCGUGCCCCUCCCUCGCCGACGAGCCCGCGCCAUGGUACUCCUUGGCUCGCGGCACGGAACCGCUAACCCCGCUCAUGGUCGCCACCGCGUACGGCUCAGUGGCUUGCCUCGACGUGCUCCUCUCGCCGCCCUACCUCGUGGACCCCAACCGCGCCUCGGCCUCAUCGCUCUCCACCCCACUCCACCUCGCCGCCGCGGGAGGGGCUACCUCUACCCCCACAUCGGUUUCCCGCCUCCUCGCCGCUGGCACCGACAAUGACAACGACGAGGUCGAAGAGCGACAAGGUGAGGAAGGUGAGGAAGAGGCAUUUCGGUCAUUUCACGAGCGUAGUCUGGAAAAAAAAUAUAAAAAAAAGCAUCAAAACAGCCCAAAAGUGGCAUUCUAUUAAAGAGCCACCUCUAUGGAGUGGCAUUUUUAUAAGGUCGUUCUAUAUGAUGGCAUUUUGUUAAAGCCACCUCUAUUGAGUGGCUUAUUGUUAAAUUUCUUGUAAAUGAUUAGGGAGAGCUCGAAAUCUGCAAAAAUUAUCGGAUAAUUCGGGUGAAUUUGAGAGGGGCAGUGUGGAUUUACAAAUGAUCCGAUUUGAAGAGCUACUUGUUUUUUUUUUCUCCUUUGGAUUUAUGGGCUAUUUCAGUUUGUUGCUACUUAAACCUUACCAAAUUUUGGUAUGGCAAUAAACUAAACACACUUCAACCAUUACUACUUUACCAAAAUUUGAUAAUUAUAGAAGCUUUCUCUCUUAAAACUCUACCAAAUUUUGAUAAAUGCAUCAAAGCAAACAAAGCUUAUAGUAUUAUACUAUCAAAAUUUGGUAAUGCUAAAAUGUAUAUAAAUUUGAUAUUACCAAUUUAGUAUGGUUGAUUUGGGAAAUAAAGCGAACAAGCCCUCGUGUGACCACCUGUGUGCGCUGGAGAGAUCUGGACCGUCCGUUUGAUGCUGGCCGUUGGAUCUGAGCCGUCGGAGGCCUCGUGGAUUAGGAUAUCAUCAGUGUUGUUGUCUUGUGGGUUGGACAGUAGACUGCUGAUAAGACCGGGAAUCUGGAGUCAGAAAACUUUUCGUCCAGAAAUCAACACUGGAUUUUUGGCUUUGCUCUCACUCGUUGAGCUUCGUUGGAUGGUUAGUACUACUUCGGUACUAACGGGUUACUUUGAUCUUAAGGUCUUCUUUUUUGGCCCAAUCAAUCACUGAAAAUAGAGUUAUAAAAAAUAACUAAAAAUUGCUUUCUUCAAUAUCAGUCCUUUAAACCACCUCAAAUACUCUUUCCUUAAAAGAAAAAACUAGUACUUACAAUUGCACCACAGUGUAGUCCAAUUUCAACAUUUCGGGGAGUUUCUCUCGGCUGACACUAUUUCGUCCGAAAUUUACAUAGAUUUUCUUUAUUUUUUAAUAUAGUCAAGCUAUUCAAAUUUGAUAAAUAUUUGAUUGCUUAUUGUAAUAUUUUGAACCGAAUUUUUUUAAAGGGAAAUAAACCGAAAUUUUCAACUCUGAAGGGAGGUGAUGGGAUGCGCGACCCUUCUCUCAUGCACAUGGGUGGCCCUCACUGCACGAGCUCAAUUUCAGAUGAUCAUGAGGAGCUAAGCUCGAUUUCUGGCGUUUUCAGCAUGCCUAGCUCAAGACCAUACAACGUCCCUCCCCUGCACGCGGGGGUAAGAUUAACAGCCUCAUUUCUUCGCUAAUGCUUAUGCUUAUCAACUAAUUUUUAAAUUUUUAACUUUAAAUUUGAUGUUAAUUUUGAGUUUUUUUUAUCGAAGUUUAUUUUUCAGUCUUUAAUUUUAAAUCGCUAAGAACACGUAUGUAAAAUUUCUAUUCACAAAUUAUCUUUCAUUUAUAAAUAUGCCGUUUGUCUUAUUCCAUCAAUAAGCCGAACAACGGGGGCCUCAGGCUCAAAGCAGGUAGCUAGAACACACGCUGUACUGUGCAUUUCUGUAAAUCAUUUUUUUUUACGAAAGAAUUUUUUCCAUCUUUUAGCUGAAGUACCUAAACAAGUAGAGAUUCCAAUUUCACCCAUUAAUUACGACGAGAUAAAUACAACCAUUUAUGAUUUAUCUACGUAGAUACCAUACGCCCUCUUGAAGCAAAGCAAUGGCGUGAGGCAGCAGCCCGGGUUUGCUUCCUGAAGCAAUCCUCUCUGCCGUAAACCAGGCGUCUCAAAUACACCUGAUCAAAGAAAAACAACAAGAACAACAAAUCAGGAGAGCCCAAACUCCAAUCCGGAAGACGCUAGCGUGCGCGGAAACAUCGCGUGAGACGCCAAGCUUUUGCCUAAUUGCCUCCCAGGGGAGGCAUCCAACGCUGUCCGUCCAUUCUCCCCUCCGCGUUUCUGAUGACGAACUGACUAGCGACAAUGAUCGCCCUCUGCUACAGGCUACAGCAGCUUAAGCACGGUGAUCAUCGAGGACACCCUAGUAAUCAAUCAGUCAGCCAUACACGGCUAAUCAAUCAGCCAAAGACAUAGGACUUGUUUUGUUUGCUACCAUGCCAAAAUAUUAAUAAUGCCAAACCAUAGGUAAAUUUGAUAGUGCCAAAUAUUUUAGCAAUUUAUGUGUCUUAUUGGUAUAUUUUGAUAGCAAACUAAACACUAGCCAAACUACUAUUCAAAAUACCAACGAUUUAGUGAGAAUUUAGACUAUUCACCAUCAAAUUCACGUGCCUCAACUUUUUUACCACCCAAUCGGCAUACCCGCUAUAAUAUGUCAUUAGGACUGUUAAUUAGUCCAUUUGGUACCACUUUCAUGUUUUUUUUUACUGUGUUUCUCAUUUCUUAAUUUCAUUUGUAUAUUUUUUUCAAGAUUUGUGGACGUUUUUGCCCCUGGGCCCACCUGUCAUAACCAAAGAGAGAUAUUUCUCUCUGGAUCGAUCGAUCCCUCCAGUCUCAUCCGUUCGCCGCCAACCCCGCCGCCGCCACUCACCUCAGCUUGCCGCCUCACCACCGAGCGCCGCCCCCAAACGCCGCGCCAUCACCCCGCCGCCGCAUCAUCACCCAGGCCUGGCGCCGCUGCCCAGGCCAAGCGCCUCCCCCGUGCCUGGAGCCGCCGCCCAGGCCGAGCAGCUCCCCCGUGCACAAACACAAUUAGUAAAUGACAUUGGGCACAAACACUAUAUAUUGAUUAAACAAGGUUAGUUUCUCAGUUCAGAAGAUUUAGUGAAGCGACCAAGGUGGCAGGUAAAGCUCUCACAUGGUGGAAGCAGUGGUAGAGCCAGAUGAGCUGCACGUCUGGAGGCGGCACCAGCAUCGGCGCCUCCCCUUCCGCGGGGUGGUGGCACGGCGCUCGGGGGCGGCGACCUGGGGGCGGCGCUCGGUGGUGGCCGGGCAUGGGCGAGUGGCGACGGCGGCUAGCUGCGGCGGCAUUGGGCGGCGGAGUGGGGGUGCUCGGCGGCGGGGUUGGCGGUGCCCGGCGGCGAGGUUGGUGCUCACGGUGACGAGACUGGAGGGAUCGAUCGAUCUAGAGAGAAAUAUCUCUCUUUGGUUCUGACGGGUGGGCCUAGGGGCAAAAACGUCCACAAAUCUUGAAAAAAUAUGCAAAUGGAAUUAAGAAAUGAGAAACACAGUAAAAAACCUGAAAGUGGUACCAAAUAGACUAAUUAGCAGUCCUAAUGAUAUAUUAUAAAGGGGUAUGCGGAUUGGGUGGUAAAAAAAGUUAAGGCACGCGAAUUUAAUGGUAAAUAGUCUAUAUUCUCCCGAUUUAGUAGACCACAUUUUGGCAUCAAACCAAAAUAGACCCUCUCCCAGAAUUUGUAAAUGGCUUUGUGGUUCGUGAUAUCACUGAACCUGCUGGGUGAAUAAAGUAAAAAAAAAAACCCAUAAAUUGGCCUUCUGCAAGAUCUCGUCGUCUUGCCCAAACUAUAGCCUUCGAUCUUUCCAUCAGGACCGCAUGGGGGGAGAGCAGGGGCAAGUAUGAAAUGGAGUUCAGAUUCAGAUUCUAGAACAGUCUGAACAUGCGACGACGACGAUGGCGAUGUAUCUGAACAAUCUGGUCCUCUCCCUCUCCUCCCGGGCGGGCUUCCACGCGGCUGAGUUUCAGGCUCCCAAUCUGCAGCUCCUCCCAGAACCUUACUCUGAUUGAUUGGUUCAUCGUUUCCAUGGCUCCAAUGAAUGCAACGUGUUGUUCAGAUUUUCUGAAUCUUGUUCUCAAUCCGGAGUACGUGCUGUAGCAGCAGCAAUCUGUCCCUGAUCUGAGAAUUUUAGACACUCGUAGAUUCGCUGAUCAAUCAUUCCGUUCCCUUCGAGUGGUCUAGAUUGAGCUUAAUCAUCCUGCUACUCGAAUCAAAUCUUCAGCAAGUGAGAGCUAGAUAAUUCAGAAGAAAUCAACAUAUUCUUCGCGAAAAAAAGAAAUAACCGAUGAAACCACGGUAAUUAGGUUCUUCGAAUCACCGGGAGAGUAGGAAAAAACGAGCUAAAAUCCCACAUAGGAGGAAACGGUUAAAAACGGCCACUCCGCGUCUCCGCCGCGAGACUAGCUCUCGCCAGUCCACGUAGCCCAAUCCACAACCGCCACGUGCUCCGACAAUCCCGCCCGUCCAUCGCCGCGGCCCCGGCCUCAUCUCGACCACUCGUUUCCUCCCUUCACACCAGCCACGUGGCACUCUCUCGAGAGCUCCCGCCCGCCUAUAUAAACUUGUUCGCGCUCGGCUCCUCCUCCUCAUCGACCUCCACCCCACAUUGAAUAAUUAUUUUUAAUAAUUUUAGUUUUUUUUUUUUGGCUUUAGAUAUAUUCCCAAUCCCCAACCUCCCAAUAAUCCGAUCUCUCCCAGUUCUGUUCGGAUCAAGGCUGUGUCGAUCGCAAAAAAGAAAAAAAAAACAAUUUCCUUUUGGGGUGGUUCAUCUGUUGAUCACUUCUUUGUUUCCCGCGUUUUGUUGGGGAUUCGAUUUUCGGGUUAAGAUUUUCUACACGAUGGCCUUGAACUUGGCUCAGAGCGCCGCGGCGGCAGCGUGCUUCGCGACCGCCGGUGAUGCGCGGCGAGCUGCUUCGGUGGUCGCCAUGCCGUCGUCGUCGUCGUCGGCCACGACGAGCCUGAGGAUGAAGAGGCAGGCGGCGUGCGAGCCGGUGGCGUGCCGGGCGGUGGCCAGGCACGUGGCGGCGGCGGCGGCGAGCAGCAGGAGGAACGGCGUGCCGGUGUUCGUGAUGAUGCCGCUGGACACGGUGAGCAAGUGCGGGAGCGCGCUGAACCGGAGGAAGGCGGUGGCGGCGAGCCUGGCGGCGCUGAAGAGCGCCGGCGUGGAGGGGAUCAUGGUGGACGUGUGGUGGGGCAUCGUGGAGAGCGAGGGCCCCGGCCGGUACAACUUCGACGGCUACGUGGAGCUCAUGGAGAUGGCCCGCAAGACCGGCCUCAAGGUCCAGGCCGUCAUGUCCUUCCACCAGUGCGGCGGCAACGUCGGCGACUCCGUCAAGUACGCAUCUCUCGUCUCCUUCCUCGAUCAUCUAUCUCAUCCUUCUCCUCUAACCUCUUCUUGUUGUUGGUGUGGCGUGCAGCAUCCCGCUCCCGAGGUGGGUGGUGGAGGAGAUGGAGAAGGACAACGACCUCGCCUACACCGACCAAUGGGGACGCCGCAACUUCGAGUACAUCUCCCUCGGCUGCGACGCCAUGCCCGUCUUCAAGGGCCGCACGCCCGUCGAGUGCUACACCGACUUCAUGCGCGCCUUCCGCGACCACUUCGCCUCCUUCCUCGGCGACACCAUCGUCGUAAGUAGGAGGAAGGACUCUUUUGAUAUCGUUGCCGUUUCGCCGGCGGCGACGACGACGCUGAUCAUCCGUGCGUCUCCUUGUGCAGGAAAUCCAAGUCGGCAUGGGCCCCGCCGGCGAGCUUCGGUACCCGUCCUACCCGGAGAGCAACGGCACCUGGAGGUUCCCCGGCAUCGGCGCCUUCCAAUGCAACGACAGGGUAACUAAUCUCCGACGAGCAAAAACUCCAUUUGGGUCGUCAUGGAUUCGAGAAAAACUCUUAUCUGGAUAAAUUUUGACGUCCUGUGGUGCAGUACAUGCGUAGCAGCCUGAAGGCGGCGGCGGAGGCGAGGGGCAAGCCGGAGUGGGGCCACGGCGGGCCGACGGACGCCGGCGGCUACAACAACUGGCCGGAAGACACGGUGUUCUUCCGCGGCGACUGCGGCGGGUGGAGCACCGAGUACGGCGAGUUCUUCCUGUCGUGGUAUUCGCAGAUGCUGCUGGAGCACGGCGAGCGCGUGCUGUCGGGCGCGACGUCCGUGUUCGGCGACGGCGCCGGCGCCAAGAUCUCGGUCAAGGUGGCCGGCAUCCACUGGCACUACGGCACGCGGUCGCACGCGCCGGAGCUCACGGCGGGGUACUACAACACGCGGCACCGCGACGGCUACCUCCCGAUCGCGCGCAUGCUGGCGCGCCACGGCGCCGUGCUCAACUUCACCUGCGUGGAGAUGCGCGACCACGAGCAGCCGCAGGAGGCGCAGUGCAUGCCCGAGGCGCUCGUCAGGCAGGUGGCCGCCGCGGCGCGCGCGGCGGGCGUCGGGCUCGCCGGGGAGAACGCGCUGCCGCGGUACGACGGCACGGCGCACGACCAGGUGGUCGCCGCCGCCGCCGACCGCGCGGCGGAGGACCGGAUGGUCGCCUUCACCUACCUCCGGAUGGGGCCCGACCUCUUCCACCCGGACAACUGGCGCCGGUUCGUCGCCUUCGUCCGCCGCAUGUCCGAGUCUGGCUCGCCGCGGGAGGCCGCCGAGAGCGCCGCGCACGGCGUCGCGCAGGCCACCGGCUCGCUCGUGCACGAGGCCGCGGUCGCGCUCCGGAGCUAGCACGGUCAGACGCUCAUAUACACCGUCGCCUCGAGGUCGGAUUCCGAUGUGGGAUCAUUCGAUCUCCCUUUUUUUUUUCUUCUUUUUGCCAUUUUGUACAGCCUUUUGGGGAGCUUUGGAUUUGUGCUUUUUGUCUCGGGAGGAAAACCGCUCUGGAGGUCGAAGAGAGCGUCAUUUUCCUCCCGUUGAAGAUCACGAAUCAUUUACGUUAGAGAUGAUGUAAUUAAGCAGGGAGGGGAGGGGAACACACACACACUGGCACUCAAAAGUUGUUGUCACGCUUGGGGAAUAUAUCCAUUUCCAGCCAAAAAAAAAACGCAGAAAUGCGUUGUGUUCUUGCGCUCUGGUUCGUUGCUGCUGUGGGUCAGAUUCAGCUGGUGAAAAAACUACAGUACUACUGAAACUGAAACUACUAGAGCCUAGAGGGAGAUUAAGCUAAGUUAAUUGCACGAGUAAUUACUCCACGGUUGUGUUUAGGGUCUACGUCGGCAGAUUUUGCUUUCUGGUAGAUCCCUAACCUUAUGUUUGUUGGGAAUUUUAUAAAGGAGCUAAGUUUGCCUAUUGAUUUGCAAUCUACACAUAUCUCUUGUGUCACAAAACAUUGGUGCCUUCACGUCUUUGGUCUCCCCUCUAAAAACUUGCCUGGCGAAUUUCACAUGAACUUCACACGAAGUCGUUCAUUUCUUGCAAGAAGUAGGGAAAAGAAUCACUGCUACAAAUGGUGUGAAGUAAUUCAUUUCUUGCAAGAAAUAGGAAAAUUUCCCUGCUCCAAACUAAAGAGUUUACAAGAAGUAGGGAAAAGAAUCACUGCUACAAAUGGUGUGAAGUAAUUCAUUUCUUGCAAGAAAUAGGAAAAUUUCCCUGCUCCAAACGAUAAGAGUUUACAAGCGUCGACCUUGAGCGGAUUACUAUCUUUGGCAUGCUAGUUUGUGGAAACUGAAAGGAUUCUGCAACUUACAGUGUGGGACUCCAGUAAUAUGACGCAGCAAGUUGGCAAAAUGGCAAUAAUUCAGUGAUUACUAAUGUCCAGCUGCCAAGCACACUGACAGUCCCAUCAUAUCCUAACAUCAAACAAGUUUUGGAUAAUAUGAACAACAUGAGUUCCUUCAAGCCCCAUAUCCUAACAUCAAACAUGUAUUGGAUAAUAUGAACCACAUAAGACGGAAAUCCAUCAAGGAAGCAAAGCAACAAGCCUAGAAACAAACAAGGUAAGGAGAUAAAAUCACGGCAAGAUGAUCUCCAAGACACGUAAUCGAGCCAAUCAACUAGACAGGCAGGUUGACACUUGCAACCAAAGAUAAUAUUCACAUUCAUGUAUCAUGAUCCCAAAGUCAAGACAAGAUGUUUGAUCGGCACCCAUAACAUCAUGAAAUCCCAUCAAACGUAAAUAGGGUUAUAUGCAUCGCAAAAUUCUACUACAAGACACCAAGAAGUUCAACAGAGCAUAUCUUCAUUCUUAAAAGCAAAUAGUAGCACAGUAUAAAGCAUUCUGCAAAACUCAGCACAGUGAUCUGCGACGAAUAAUUUUUUGACAGGAACCACACAGAACAAAGGUCCAGACUAAUAAUGCUCAGAGCGAGCAAACUUCUACUCAUUAGAGUGACAGGGAUAUAGAAUUGGUAGCGCAGGCAGAUAGAUUGAAAAUCCUAG
RNAcentral lists this long non-coding RNA (11756 nucleotides) under Oryza sativa (Asian cultivated rice). RNAcentral's name for it is "long non-coding RNA (OSAT_LNC001863)". The record is from RNAcentral. Lineage: Eukaryota; Viridiplantae; Streptophyta; Magnoliopsida; Poales; Poaceae.